UUGCUGAAAAUUCAUAACUACAACUUAUUUUCAAUAGAAUCUCCAAAUGGAAAGUUAACCUCCGAACGUUUGCAUAACCUGAAGAACUUCCUCAUGCACCACCAAGUUCCCAAAAGCAGUCAUUUGACAACGAUUCAAAGUGAAAUAAAGUGAAUUCGACAUAGAAACUUCUGUAAUUUCAAAACAUGUUUCCUAAAAUUACUCGCCUAUAGAGUAAUGUCACAAACCCACUUAUUAAAAUCGAUUGCCCCAACUAAAAUUCAACACGAACACAGAGAGAUUAAAUGGUUAAUACCAAAAUCUUGUCCCAACUGUAAUUGAUAACCUGCCCCCUUCCGGUUUAAACUUUAUAGGAUGAUUCUUUAACCCUAGUUCUUGUCAUUCAGUGAAGAGUCAUAACACAUACAGACAUUAAAGUUGAAAUCUUUUCGAAGCAGAUGAAAAGGGAAUACGUUUCGGCCCUUUGAGUUAUUGGAAAAAAACCCAACAGAGCAAAAGCCUCUAACUCCAAAGACUUGUGGGAUUUUGAAGAGAGCAAGAGAGAGAGAAAAUAUCAGAAGAAAUAAAGCAAGAGAGGGGGGAACCAAAAGGGGCAAGAAGAAGAAGAAGUAGUAGUAGCAAAAGCGAAGCAGAGGAAGAAGAAAAUAAGGGAAAAAAAGGACGAUUGAAAUUAAUGCAUCAAACGACGAUUGAAUCGAGAGUUAUGGAACAAAUUUGUACUUCACCAACAUGUAGAAAAGCUUGGAUCUUUGAAGCGAAACGAAGACAAUGAGUGCUUUGCGGCGGAGGCCGAGUUCACUCAGAGCGGAUUCGUCGUCGUCG
Molecule: long non-coding RNA, 822 nt
Filed under: Malus domestica (apple)
Lineage: Eukaryota; Viridiplantae; Streptophyta; Magnoliopsida; Rosales; Rosaceae
Description: long non-coding RNA (MDOM_LNC013702)
Source: RNAcentral